AUGAUCUUGAACCUUACAUUUUGAGGGUCGGAUUUAGGUUUAUGUUUUGCAUGAAAGAAUGGUUCACCAUUCGCGACAUCAACGAUUGGAUAACAUGAUGACCGCUUCAAGAACUAUACAAAUGGAUGGAAUUAAGAAAGGGACUAGAGGAUCUUUUGCACGGAAUAUACGACCUGAACCCUUGAGGGUCGGCCUUGUGGCAAAGUACGUAGUUGAUGUGUCAUGUCA
Molecule: long non-coding RNA, 228 nt
Filed under: Elaeis guineensis (African oil palm)
Lineage: Eukaryota; Viridiplantae; Streptophyta; Magnoliopsida; Arecales; Arecaceae
Description: long non-coding RNA (EGUI_LNC010853)
Source: RNAcentral